RNAcentral lists this ribosomal RNA (253 nucleotides) under uncultured bacterium. RNAcentral describes it as "partial 16S ribosomal RNA". It matches the Rfam family "Bacterial small subunit ribosomal RNA", at positions 524 to 776 of the family's 1533-position model. The record is from RNAcentral.
UACGUAGGGUCCGAGCGUUGUCCGGAAUUAUUGGGCGUAAAGAGCUCGUAGGCGGUUUGUCGCGUCUGCUGUGAAAUCCCGAGGCUCAACCUCGGGGCUGCAGUGGGUACGGGCAGACUGGAGUGCGGUAGGGGAGAAUGGAAUUCCUGGUGUAGCGGUGGAAUGCGCAGAUAUCAGGAGGAACACCGAUGGCGAAGGCAGUUCUCUGGGCCGUAACUGACGCUGAGGAGCGAAAGCGUGGGGAGCGAACAGG